This 500-nucleotide ribosomal RNA is filed under the name uncultured bacterium. RNAcentral describes it as "partial 16S ribosomal RNA". It matches the Rfam family "Bacterial small subunit ribosomal RNA", at positions 30 to 523 of the family's 1533-position model. The record is from RNAcentral.
AUUGAACGCUGGCGGCAUGCCUUACACAUGCAAGUCGAACGGCAGCACGGGAGCAAUCCUGGUGGCGAGUGGCGAACGGGUGAGUAAAGUAUCGGAACGUGCCCAGUCGUGGGGGAUAACGUAGCGAAAGUUACGCUACUACCGCAUACGAUCUAUGGAUGAAAGCGGGGGAUCGCAAGACCUCGCGCGAUUGGAGCGGCCGAUAUCAGAUUAGGUAGUUGGUGGGGUAAAGGCUUACCAAGCCGACGAUCUGUAGCUGGUCUGAGAGGACGACCAGCCACACUGGGACUGAGACACGGCCCAGACUCCUACGGGAGGCAGCAGUGGGGAAUUUUGGACAAUGGGCGAAAGCCUGAUCCAGCCAUGCCGCGUGCAGGAUGAAGGCCUUCGGGUUGUAAACUGCUUUUGUACGGAACGAAAAGGUUUGGGCUAAUAAGCUGAGCUCAUGACGGUACCGUAAGAAUAAGCACCGGCUAACUACGUGCCAGCCGCCGCAGUAA